AGGGGUCGUGAGCGAGAAAUGAAUCAGGCAUCGGUCGUUCUAGCGGUAAGAGUCCUUCGGAUGUUGAAUGGUCUGGUCAACUCGUUCCGUUCCUGUGUAGAAAGGAAGUAACCCGUGGGUAUCUUCUAUUGAUUAACGAACUGGGAAUCAUAGCUCGCUCUUCCUUUGCUUUGGAUCUUCGGUAACCACCCUUCUUCACAGAAAAAGAGAGCUCAGAAGACCUCGUCUAUUACGACGGUACGGAAAAAUCAAUG
Molecule: long non-coding RNA, 254 nt
Filed under: Nicotiana benthamiana
Lineage: Eukaryota; Viridiplantae; Streptophyta; Magnoliopsida; Solanales; Solanaceae
Description: long non-coding RNA (NBEN_LNC005400)
Source: RNAcentral